UGGGUAAUAUUGGACAAUGGGCGCAAGCCUGAUCCAGCCAUGCCGCGUGUGUGAAGAAGGCCUUUUGGUUGUAAAGCACUUUAAGCGAGGAGGAGGCUACUUGGAUUAAUAUUCUAGGAUAGUGGACGUUACUCGCAUAAUAAGCACCGGCUAACUCUGUGCCAGCUGCCGCGGUAAUACAGAGGGUGCGAGCGUUAAUCGGAUUUACUGGGCGUAAAGCGUGCGUAGGCGGCUUCUUAAGUCGGAUGUGAAAUCCCUGAGCUUAACUUGGGAAUUGCAUUCGAUACUAGGAAGCUGGAGUAUGGGAGAGGAUGGUAGAAUUCCAGGUGUAGCGGUGAAAUGCGUAGAGAUCUGGAGGAAUACCGAUGGCGAAGGCAGCCAUCUGGCCUAAUACUGACGAUGAAGUACGAAAGCAUGGGGAGCAAACAGG
Molecule: ribosomal RNA, 430 nt
Filed under: bacterium
Lineage: Bacteria
Description: partial 16S ribosomal RNA
Rfam family: Bacterial small subunit ribosomal RNA
Source: RNAcentral